Molecule: transfer RNA, 79 nt
Filed under: Pseudomonas fluorescens
Lineage: Bacteria; Pseudomonadati; Pseudomonadota; Gammaproteobacteria; Pseudomonadales; Pseudomonadaceae
Description: tRNA-Trp
Source: RNAcentral
GUGCUGUGGUAUGGCGUCCAGAUCUGUUCCAGCCAGGUCGCGCGUUCUUCCUUCGAAGGUUCCAUUCCCUCACGGAACA